This 429-nucleotide ribosomal RNA is filed under the name Bacteroidota bacterium. RNAcentral's name for it is "Bacteroidetes bacterium partial 16S ribosomal RNA". It matches the Rfam family "Bacterial small subunit ribosomal RNA", at positions 355 to 776 of the family's 1533-position model. Lineage: Bacteria; Pseudomonadati; Bacteroidota. The record is from RNAcentral.
UAGGGAAUCUUCGGCAAUGGGGGGAACCCUGACCGAGCAACGCCGCGUGAGUGAAGAAGGUUUUCGGAUCGUAAAGCCCUGUUGUUAAGGAAGAACGAGUGUGAGAAUGGAAAGUUCAUACUGUGACGGUACUUAACCAGAAAGGGACGGCUAACUACGUGCCAGCAGCCGCGGUAAUACGUAGGUCCCGAGCGUUGUCCGGAUUUAUUGGGCGUAAAGCGAGCGCAGGCGGUUAGAUAAGUCUGAAGUUAAAGGCAGUGGCUCAACCAUUGUAGGCUUUGGAAACUGUUUAACUUGAGUGCAGAAGAGGAGAGUGGAAUUCCAUGUGUAGCGGUAAAAUGAGUAGAUAUAUGGAGGAACUCCGGUGGCGAAAGCGGCUCUCUGGUCUGUAACUGUCGCUGAGGCUCGAAAGCGUGGGGAGCGAACAGG